RNAcentral lists this ribosomal RNA (1371 nucleotides) under uncultured bacterium. RNAcentral describes it as "bacterial SSU rRNA". It matches the Rfam family "Bacterial small subunit ribosomal RNA", at positions 28 to 1381 of the family's 1533-position model. The record is from RNAcentral.
GAUGAACGCUGGCGGCGUGCCUAAUACAUGCAAGUCGAGCGAACGGACGAGAAGCUUGCUUCUCUGAUGUUAGCGGCGGACGGGUGAGUAACACGUGGAUAACCUACCUAUAAGACUGGGAUAACUUCGGGAAACCGGAGCUAAUACCGGAUGAUAUUUUGAACCGCAUGGUUCAAAAGUGAAAGACGGUCUUGCUGUCACUUAUAGAUGGAUCCGCGCUGCAUUAGCUAGUUGGUAAGGUAACGGCUUACCAAGGCAACGAUGCAUAGCCGACCUGAGAGGGUGAUCGGCCACACUGGAACUGAGACACGGUCCAGACUCCUACGGGAGGCAGCAGUAGGGAAUCUUCCGCAAUGGGCGAAAGCCUGACGGAGCAACGCCGCGUGAGUGAUGAAGGUCUUCGGAUCGUAAAACUCUGUUAUUAGGGAAGAACAUAUGUGUAAGUAACUGUGCACAUCUUGACGGUACCUAAUCAGAAAGCCACGGCUAACUACGUGCCAGCAGCCGCGGUAAUACGUAGGUGGCAAGCGUUAUCCGGAAUUAUUGGGCGUAAAGCGCGCGUAGCGGUUUUUUAAGUCUGAUGUGAAAGCCCACGGCUCAACCGUGGAGGGUCAUUGGAAACUGGAAAACUUGAGUGCAGAAGAGGAAAGUGGAAUUCCAUGUGUAGCGGUGAAAUGCGCAGAGAUAUGGAGGAACACCAGUGGCGAAGGCGACUUUCUGGUCUGUAACUGACGCUGAUGUGCGAAAGCGUGGGGAUCAAACAGGAUUAGAUACCCUGGUAGUCCACGCCGUAAACGAUGAGUGCUAAGUGUUAGGGGGUUUCCGCCCCUUAGUGCUGCAGCUAACGCAUUAAGCACUCCGCCUGGGGAGUACGACCGCAAGGUUGAAACUCAAAGGAAUUGACGGGGACCCGCACAAGCGGUGGAGCAUGUGGUUUAAUUCGAAGCAACGCGAAGAACCUUACCAAAUCUUGACAUCCUUUGACAACUCUAGAGAUAGAGCCUUCCCCUUCGGGGGACAAAGUGACAGGUGGUGCAUGGUUGUCGUCAGCUCGUGUCGUGAGAUGUUGGGUUAAGUCCCGCAACGAGCGCAACCCUUAAGCUUAGUUGCCAUCAUUAAGUUGGGCACUCUAAGUUGACUGCCGGUGACAAACCGGAGGAAGGUGGGGAUGACGUCAAAUCAUCAUGCCCCUUAUGAUUUGGGCUACACACGUGCUACAAUGGACAAUACAAGGGGCAGCGAAACCGCGAGGUCAAGCAAAUCCCAUAAAGUUGUUCUCAGUUCGGAUUGUAGUCUGCAACUCGACUACAUGAAGCUGGAAUCGCUAGUAAUCGUAGAUCAGCAUGCUACGGUGAAUACGUUCCCGGGUCU